UGUUUCGACUAGGGGGUCAUCCCGACUUACCAACUCGAUGCAAACUGCGAAUACCGAAGAAUGUUAUCACGGGAGACACACGGCGGGUGCUAACGUCCGUCGUGAAGAGGGAAACAACCCAGACCGCCAGCUAAGGUCCCAAAGUCAUGGUUAAGUGGGAAACGAAGUGGGAAGGCUCAGACAGCCAGGAUGUUGGCUUAGAAGCAGCCAUCAUUUAAAGAAAGCGUAAUAGCUCACUGGUCGAGUCGGCCCGCGCGGAAGAUGUAACGGGGCUAAACCAUGCACCGAAGCUGCGGCAGCGACACAAAGUGUUGUUGGGUAGGGGAGCGUUCUGUAAGCCUGCGAAGGUGUACUGUGAGGUAUGCUGGAGGUAUCAGAAGUGCGAAUGCUGACAUAAGUAACGAUAAUGCGGGUGAAAAACCCGCACGCCGGAAGACCAAGGGUUCCUGUCCAACGUUAAUCGGGGCAGGGUGAGUCGACCCCUAAGGCGAGGCUGAAAAGCGUAGUCGAUGGGAAACGGGUUAAUAUUCCCGUACUGGUGGUAACUGCGAUGGGGGAACGGAGAAGGCUAGGUUGUCCGGGCGACGGUCGUCCCGGUUCAAGCAGGUAGGCAGAGUGAUUAGGCAAAUCCGGUCACUUAAUGCUGAGAUGUGAUGACGAACCACCAAGGUGGUGAAGCAAUUGAUGCCCCGCUUCCAGGAAAAGCCUCUAAGCUUCAGGUUACCAACAAUCGUACCCCAAACCGACACAGGUGGUCAGGUAGAGAAUACUCAGGCGCUUGAGAGAACUCGGGUGAAGGAACUAGGCAAAAUGGUGCCGUAACUUCGGGAGAAGGCACG
RNAcentral lists this ribosomal RNA (839 nucleotides) under Proteus mirabilis. RNAcentral's name for it is "partial 23S ribosomal RNA". It matches the Rfam family "Bacterial large subunit ribosomal RNA", at positions 911 to 1750 of the family's 2925-position model. The record is from RNAcentral. Lineage: Bacteria; Pseudomonadati; Pseudomonadota; Gammaproteobacteria; Enterobacterales; Morganellaceae.